UUAUAAAUAAAUAUUUAUCCAAAUAUUUAUUAUACAUCUGGGGUACAGCAAAUUAAAAUACCAAGACAACAAUAGGCUCCUAUUAGAAAGCCUAAAAUUCAAUAUACUGACAACAGCAGAUGCUUUAUAGGAUGUGGAGCAACAGGAAUCCAUGCAUUGCUGUGAGAAGUAAAAAAUACUACGGCCACUUUUGAAAACAGGUUAGCAGUUUCUGACAAAGUUAAACAAAUUCUUAACAUGCAAUUCAGAAACAACAUAUCUAGAUAUUUACCUGCAUGAGAUACUUGCAUCACACAAGAACCUGCACAGAAAUGUUUAUAGCUGCUUGGAACACAAUUGCCAAAACAUGAAAAGAAUGAAUGUGUCCUUAAAUAGGUGAAUGGGAUACACAAGCCCUGAUAAUGCAUACAAUGAGAUGUCACUCUGCAAGAAAAAGGCGUUAUAAGGCCACAAGAAGACAUGGAGGAAGACUAUAUGUAUAUUGCUAAGUGAAAGAAACCAAUCUGAAAAGGCUGGAAUUGUGAGGGAGCAGCAGGGAGGGAGGGGCAUGAGUCCUCAGCACCAGCGCCGGCCCACGGGCCACGUGUCUCCUGAAUCCACCAGAUGGCGCUGUGACCUAAGCACCUGCUCACCUGCUCAAGCUCCCCAGCUCCACAGAUGUGAGCCCCUUUUCUCCUGCAUCUGGCAGGUGUUUCUGUGCCCUCUCUGGGUCUCCUCCUUCCUACAGUCUUUCUUUUCCUCAGCUGAAGAUCAUACUGAGGUCAAAGGUGGGGCUUGCACCACCUCUAAAAUGGGGAAGAUUUGCAUGGGGAUUUCCCACCCUGAGCAUUAUAGUGAAAGAUAAGAAGGGCUGGGGCUCAUUCCUGGCUGUGGCUCAGGAAGCAGAGCCUGGGGCGUCUCCACCAUGGCCUGGGCUCCACUCCUCCUCACCCUCCUUGCUCACUGCACAGCUGCCUGCAGGGAAUUCAGGGAGGGCUCCUGGAUGUCACCUGGGAUGAUGACCUCUGCCUUCUCCCUGGGAACCAGCCCUGACCUGUCCUCACUGAUCUCUGUGUUGCCCCUCCUUGCAGGGUCUUGGGCUGAGGUUGUGCUCACUCAGCCCCAUUCUGUGUCGGGGUCUCCGGGGCAGAAGGUCACCAUCUCCUGCACCCGCAGCAGUGGCAGCAUUGACAGUGAAUAUGUGCGCUGGUACCAGCAGCGCCUGGACAGUGCCCCCACCACUGUGAUCUACAAUGAUGACCGAAGGUCCUCUGGGGUCCCUGAUCGGUUCUCUGGCUCCAUCGACAGCUCCUCCAACUCUGCCUCCCUCACCAUCUCUGGGCUGAAGUCUGAGGACGAGGCUGACUAUUACUGUCAGUCUUAUGACAGCGGCGAUUAUCACACAGUGCUCCAGCCUCAUGGGGAAGUGAGACAAAAUCUCCCCUCAAUGUCCCUAUCUUGAUCUGCCCUCAGCCUGUCCCCACCAGCAAGGGCUGCAUUUUCCUGUCUCCUGCUUGAACUUUGGAGUUAAAAUUUUGUUUAUAGUUCCUGUAUUUUCUUUCCAAAGCACAAAUAUUUUCUCCCAAGUCUUGACAGGUGAUCCUCUAAUCCCUUUGUGAUCACUUCAUGGAACACACGUAGUUCAAAACUGUGUUUCUAAACAUUGGCGCUAUUGACAUUGUGGGCUGGAUCAUCCCUUGUGAUGAGGGAAGCUCUCUGCAUCACAGCUCAUUCAAAAACAUCUUCUGUGUCCACAAGUCAGACGCCAGUAGCACCCUGCUCCCUGUUAUGACAAACAAUAAUGAAUCACUAUUUCCCUAUAUGUCCAGGGAGGGUCACACUAGUUUGAGAACAGGAGAAUGUGGAAAAGCUGCAUCUAUUAAGAAGGCUUUGGCAGGCAAUCCCAUUCGCACCAUUCAGCUGGACAUGAGGCUGGAGGCAUUAGCUCUCUGCUUCUGCUUUCCCAUCUGGUAGCAAAACAGGUGCCUCAAACUCAAAUUAUGGUUUCCAUGGAUGGAUCAGGUUCUACGCAAAAUGGGGUCAGAAAACCCAUUACCUGUUCAGAUGGAAUCUUCUCUCACCCACUGUGGAGUAUAACUUUUGGCAAACCAGAUGUGCCAUGAAUACUUUAAAUUUUUAGAGAAAUUUCAUGAAAAUAUAUAGACCUAUCUUUAUUUAUUCUUCCAGGGAGUACUUCUCAAGCACAGGAUACAAAGAUGAAUAAUAAUCUAACACAGGUUCUUGUACCCUCGGAGUUUAGAUUUUAGAAUAUAUGGGAUGACAAACAAGAGCAGUGACAGAGCUGAGUGGACAGUGACGUCCUUCCUUUUCCCAUAGGGCUGGAGCAAAUUUGGUCCCACCUCUACUUUUUUACCCUCGAACCUACAGUGUCCAGUACACCCCCACUAACUACAUGUGGAUGUCUAAAUUUAAAUUACCUGGACGAGAUUAAAAGUUAUAUCUCUCAGUCCCA
Molecule: non-coding RNA, 2452 nt
Organism: Piliocolobus tephrosceles (Ugandan red Colobus)
Lineage: Eukaryota; Metazoa; Chordata; Mammalia; Primates; Cercopithecidae
Source: the annotation of a RefSeq genome assembly